CCUACGGGAGGCAGCAGUGAGGAAUAUUGGUCAAUGGGCGGAAGCCUGAACCAGCCAAGUCGCGUGAGGGAAUAAGGCCCUACGGGUCGUAAACCUCUUUUGCCGGGGAGCAAGGGCCGGGACGAGUCCCGGUCCGGAGAGUACCCGGAGAAAAAGCAUCGGCUACCUCCGUUCCAGCAGCCGAGGUAAUACGGGGUAUGCGAGCGUUAUCCGGAUUUAUUGGGUUUAAAGGGUGCGUAGGUGGGCUUUUAAGUCAGCGGUAAAAAUUCGGGGCUCAACCCCGUCCGGCCGUUGAAACUGGUGGCCUUGAGUGGGCGAGAAGAAGGCGGAAUGCGUGGUGUAGCGGUGAAAUGCAUAGAUAUCACGCAGAACCCCGAUUGCGAAGGCAGCCUUCCGGCGCCCUACUGACGCUGAGGCACGAAAGUGCGGGGAUCGAACAGGAUUAGAUACCCCAGUAGUC
RNAcentral lists this ribosomal RNA (460 nucleotides) under uncultured bacterium. Its description in RNAcentral is "partial 16S ribosomal RNA". It matches the Rfam family "Bacterial small subunit ribosomal RNA", at positions 338 to 795 of the family's 1533-position model. The record is from RNAcentral.